GACGAACGCUGGCGGCGUGCUUAACACAUGCAAGUCGAGCGGUAAGGCCCCUUCGGGGGUACACGAGCGGCGAACGGGUGAGUAACACGUGAGCAAUCUGCCCAUCACAUCUGGAUACCUCCGGGAAACCGAAGCUAAUACCGAAUACGACCACCUCCGGCAUCGGAUGGUGGUGGAAAGUUCCGGCGGUGAGGGAUGUGCUCGCGGCCUAUCAGCUUGUUGGUGGGGUAACGGCCCACCAAGGCUUCGACGGGUAGCCGGCCUGAGAGGGUGAACGGCCACACUGGGACUGAGCCACGGCCCAGACUCCUACGGGAGGCAGCAGUGGGGAAUAUUGGACAAUGGGCGAAAGCCUGAGCCAGCAACGCCGCGUGAGGGAUGACGGCCUUCGGGUUGUAAACCGCUUUCAGCAGGGACGAAGCGCAAGUGACGGUACCUGCAGAAGAAGCACCGGCCAACUACGUG
Molecule: ribosomal RNA, 465 nt
Filed under: uncultured bacterium
Lineage: Bacteria
Description: partial 16S ribosomal RNA
Rfam family: Bacterial small subunit ribosomal RNA
Source: RNAcentral